RNAcentral lists this ribosomal RNA (1335 nucleotides) under metagenome. RNAcentral's name for it is "bacterial LSU rRNA". It matches the Rfam family "Bacterial large subunit ribosomal RNA", at positions 1578 to 2925 of the family's 2925-position model. The record is from RNAcentral.
UUAUCGUUCUAAGUGAGUGACGUCACACUGCCAAGAAAAGCUUCUAGUUAGAAUCAGACCGCCCGUACCGCAAACCGACACAGGUAGUCGGGUCGAGAAGACCAAGGUGAGCGAGAGAACUCUCGUUAAGGAACUCGGCAAAAUGACCCCGUAACUUCGGGAGAAGGGGUGCUGAUCGCAAGAUCAGCCGCAGUGAAUAGGCCCAGGCGACUGUUUAUCAAAAACACAGGUUUCUGCAAAAUCGUAAGAUGAAGUAUAGGGGCUGACGCCUGCCCGGUGCUGGAAGGUUAAGAGGAUGGGUUAGCGCAAGCGAAGCUCAGAAUUGAAGCCCCAGUAAACGGCGGCCGUAACAAUAACGGUCCUAAGGUAGCGAAAUUCCUUGUCGGGUAAGUUCCGACCCGCACGAAAGGCGUAACGAUCUGGGCACUGUCUCAACGAGAGACUCGGUGAAAUUAUAAUACCCGUGAAGAUGCGGGUUACCCGCGACAGGACGGAAAGACCCCAUGGAGCUUUACUGUAGCUUGAUAUUGGGUGUUUGUACAACUUGUACAGGAUAGGUAGGAGCCGUAGAAGUCGGGACGCUAGUUUCGACGGAGGCAUCGGUGGGAUACUACCCUCGUUGUAUGAACACUCUAACCCACGCCGGCAAUCACGGCGGGAGACAGUGUCAGGUGGGCAGUUUGACUGGGGCGGUCGCCUCCUAAAAGGUAACGGAGGCGCCCAAAGGUUCCCUCAGAAUGGUUGGAAAUCAUUCGCAGAGUGUAAAGGCAUAAGGGAGCUUGACUGCGAGACCUACAAGUCGAGCAGGGACGAAAGUCGGGCUUAGUGAUCCGGUGGUUCCGCAUGGAAGGGCCAUCGCUCAACGGAUAAAAGCUACCCUGGGGAUAACAGGCUUAUCUCCCCCAAGAGUCCACAUCGACGGGGAGGUUUGGCACCUCGAUGUCGGCUCAUCGCAUCCUGGGGCUGUAGUCGGUCCCAAGGGUUGGGCUGUUCGCCCAUUAAAGCGGUACGCGAGCUGGGUUCAGAACGUCGUGAGACAGUUCGGUCCCUAUCCGUCGCGGGCGCAGGAAAUUUGAGAGGAUCUGUCCUUAGUACGAGAGGACCGGGAUGGACAUACCGCUGGUGUACCAGUUGUUCUGCCAAGGGCAUCGCUGGGUAGCUAUGUAUGGAUGAGAUAAACGCUGAAAGCAUCUAAGUGCGAAACUCACCUCGAGAUGAGAUUUCCCACUCCUUUAUGGAGUUAAGACCCCUGAGAGAUGAUCAGGUAGAUAGGAUGGAAGUGGAAGUGCGGCGACGCAUGGAGCGGACCAUUACUAAUCGGUCGAGGACUUAACC